GAGCAACGCCGCGUGAGGGACGAAGGCCUCUGGGCUGUAAACCUCUUUUCUCAAGGAAGAAGACAUGACGGUACUUGAGGAAUAAGCCACGGCUAAUUCCGUGCCAGCAGCCGCGGUAAUACGGGAGUGGCAAGCGUUAUCCGGAAUUAUUGGGCGUAAAGCGUCCGCAGGCGGCCUUGAAAGUCUGUUGUUAAAGCGUGGAGCUCAACUCCAUUUAAGCAAUGGAAACUACAAGGCUAGAGUGUGGUAGGGGCAGAGGGAAUUCCCGGUGUAGCGGUGAAAUGCGUAGAUAUCGGGAAGAACACCAGUGGCGAAGGCGCUCUGCUGGGCCAUAACUGACGCUCAUGGACGAAAGCCAGGGGAGCGAAAGGGAUUAGAUACCCCUGUAGUCCUGGCCGUAAACGAUGAACACUAGGUGUCGGGAGAAUUAACCCUUCCGGUGUCGUAGCCAACGCGUUAAGUGUUCCGCCUGGGGAGUACGCACGCAAGUGUGAAACUCAAAGGAAUUGACGGGGGCCCGCACAAGCGGUGGAGUAUGUGGUUUAAUUCGAUGCAACGCGAAGAACCUUACCAGGGUUUGACAUCCUGCGAAUCCCUUGGAAACGAGGGAGUGCCUUCGGGAACGCAGUGACAGGUGGUGCAUGGCUGUCGUCAGCUCGUGUCGUGAGAUGUUGGGUUAAGUCCCGCAACGAGCGCAACCCACGUCUUUAGUUGCCAGCAUUCAGUUGGGCACUCUAGAGAGACCGCCGGUGAUAAACCGGAGGAAGGUGUGGAUGACGUCAAGUCAUCAUGCCCCUUACAUCCUGGGCUACACACGUACUACAAUGCUACGGACAAAGGGCAGCAAACUCGCGAGAGCUAGCAAAUCCCAUAAACCGUGGCUCAGUUCAGAUCGUAGGCUGCAACUCGCCUACGUGAAGGAGGAAUCGCUAGUAAUCGCAGGUCAGCAUACUGCGGUGAAUACGUUCCCGGGCCUUGUACACACCGCCCGUCACACCAUGGAAGUUGGCCAUGCCCGAAGUCGUUACUCCAACCCGCAAGGGAGGAGGACGCCGAAGGUGGGGCUGAUGACUGGGGUGAAGUCGUAACAAGGUAGCCGUACCGGAAGGUG
This 1111-nucleotide ribosomal RNA is filed under the name uncultured cyanobacterium. RNAcentral describes it as "bacterial SSU rRNA". It matches the Rfam family "Bacterial small subunit ribosomal RNA", at positions 389 to 1514 of the family's 1533-position model. Lineage: Bacteria; Bacillati; Cyanobacteriota. The record is from RNAcentral.